Molecule: non-coding RNA, 318 nt
Organism: Monodelphis domestica (gray short-tailed opossum)
Lineage: Eukaryota; Metazoa; Chordata; Mammalia; Didelphimorphia; Didelphidae
Source: the annotation of a RefSeq genome assembly
AUGAGUCUAACACUGCUUUUCUGUACAGGGGGGAGCUGCCUCCAGAAGGUGGAACAGAGCCCUCAGGCCUUGAGAGUCCAGGAGGGAGAGGACACCACUAUUAACUGCAGUUUCACAGAAUUUUCCCAAAGCUUGCAAUGGUUCAGGCAGGAUCCUGGGAAAGGUCUCAUCAGCCUGUUUUACUUGACCUCAGAGAUGAAGGAGAAAGGCAGAUUCAGAUCCACGAUCAUCUUGAAGGAACGUCACAGUUCCCUGUACAUCGAUGCCUCCCAGCCUUCAGACUCAGCCACUUACCUAUGUGCUGUGAGGGCACAGUGA